UGGGGAAUAUUGCACAAUGGGCGGAAGCCUGAUGCAGCAACGCCGCGUGCGGGAUGACGGCCUUCGGGUUGUAAACCGCUUUCGCCUGUGACGAAGCGUGAGUGACGGUAAUGGGUAAAGAAGCACCGGCUAACUACGUGCCAGCAGCCGCGGUGAUACGUAGGGUGCGAGCGUUGUCCGGAUUUAUUGGGCGUAAAGGGCUCGUAGGUGGUUGAUCGCGUCGGAAGUGUAAGCUUGGGGCUUAACCCUGAGCGUGCUUUCGAUACGGGUUGACUUGAGGAAGGUAGGGGAGAAUGGAAUUCCUGGUGGAGCGGUGGAAUGCGCAGAUAUCAGGAGGAACACCAGUGGCGAAGGCGGUUCUCUGGGCCUUUCCUGACGCUGAGGAGCGAAAGCGUGGGGAGCGAACAGG
This 409-nucleotide ribosomal RNA is filed under the name uncultured prokaryote. RNAcentral describes it as "bacterial SSU rRNA". It matches the Rfam family "Bacterial small subunit ribosomal RNA", at positions 355 to 776 of the family's 1533-position model. RNAcentral also lists the same sequence under 1 other name. The record is from RNAcentral.